RNAcentral lists this ribosomal RNA (253 nucleotides) under uncultured bacterium. Its description in RNAcentral is "partial 16S ribosomal RNA". It matches the Rfam family "Bacterial small subunit ribosomal RNA", at positions 524 to 776 of the family's 1533-position model. The record is from RNAcentral.
GACGAACCGUGCGAACGUUGUUCGGAAUCACUGGGCUUAAAGGGCGCGUAGGCGGCAGAUCAAGUCCGGGGUGAAAGCCCCCAGCUCAACUGGGGAAGUGCCUUGGAUACUGAUUUGCUCGAGGGAGGUAGGGGUCGAGGGAACUUCCGGUGGAGCGGUGAAAUGCGUUGAUAUCGGAAGGAACGCCGGUGGCGAAAGCGCUCGACUGGAUCUCUUCUGACGCUGAGGCGCGAAAGCUAGGGGAGCAAACGGG